UGGGAGCUCAGUGGUAGAGCGUCCGACCGGUUGUGGCAGAAGGUCAUAGGUUCGACUCCUGUUGGGAGAA
RNAcentral lists this transfer RNA (70 nucleotides) under Desmophyllum pertusum. RNAcentral's name for it is "tRNA-Asn". Lineage: Eukaryota; Metazoa; Cnidaria; Anthozoa; Scleractinia; Caryophylliidae. The record is from RNAcentral.